UACAGAGGGUGCGAGCGUUAAUCGGAGUUACUGGGCGUAAAGGGCGCGUAGGCUGGUUAUAUAAGUGAGAUGUGAAAUCCCUGGGCUUAACCUAGGAACUGCAUCUCAUAACUGUAUGACUGGAGUAUUGUAGAGGGUAGUGGAAAUUUCCGGUGUAGCGGUGAAAUGCGUAGAGAUCGGAAAGGAACACCAGUGGCGGAAGGCGACUACCUGGACAAAUACUGACGCUGAGGCGGCGAAGAGCGUGGGGAAGCAAACAGG
RNAcentral lists this ribosomal RNA (261 nucleotides) under uncultured bacterium. Its description in RNAcentral is "partial 16S ribosomal RNA". It matches the Rfam family "Bacterial small subunit ribosomal RNA", at positions 524 to 776 of the family's 1533-position model. The record is from RNAcentral.